GAGACGAUACUUUCAGGGAUCCUUUCUAUAUUAGGUUCCAGGGAAGUUUCUCUGAAAGCACACGAGGAGGAGGUGCCUUGUUCUCUCCUGAGGGAGAAGCUGGUCUUGGUGUCACCUUGCUGCCAUCUCCCUUUGCCACUGGUGAUCACUGUCUCCCCUGGGGGAGUAAGAAGGAGAGGAUGCUGUCUGAGUGGU
This is a non-coding RNA of Otolemur garnettii (small-eared galago), 195 nucleotides long. The record is from Rfam. NCBI's taxonomy places the organism in Eukaryota, Metazoa, Chordata, Mammalia, Primates, Galagidae.